Long non-coding RNA from Motacilla alba alba, 12181 nucleotides. RefSeq lists it as uncharacterized. The transcript has 2 exons. NCBI's taxonomy places the organism in Eukaryota, Metazoa, Chordata, Aves, Passeriformes, Motacillidae. The record is from RefSeq and is a predicted model, not a curated record.
GGCAAAAAAAAAAAAAAACAAAUCUUAGGUAACAUGGAUAAAAAAGUAUAAAGCAAAACUUAUGCAAGGAACUAAAACAAAAAAUUAAGACAACCUUACAUGUUUGUGGAUACAAAAUUUGUGCAGAACUAACAAUUUCAUACCACUGUGUUACAGUUCAGGAAUAAGAAAAAAAAAACGGAUUGCAAAGACAGUAUUACAUUAAUUUUACCAGUCGUAGCAAAUCUAGAAGUAGCAUAAAACCCACAAAGAAACAAAAUAGCAUAACCAUGGAGAGGAUGGGACAAGGGAAAAGGUGGAUAUCAGUGUCAGGAGAGGGAAAACAUAUAAUGAAUUAAGAAUAUGAUCUCAUUACUGAACGGGUCAUCUGUCAGCCUUCUUUCAACAAAUGUACCAAGUCAACUGCUCCAACUCCCCAGUGCUGUACAUGCCCUAAAGACAGAGCACUACCCCAAAAAAGACUGCUGGGUCUUAGCACCUCUUUUCUCUACUUUUCACCACUUCUGCAAGACACCAUGGAUUUUCUUCUUGCUUAUCUUUUGUCAGACAACCCUGGCUCGGGGACAGCCACAGCUCCUCUGUGGCACUGCCACCAGCAGACAGGCUGGACACACACAGGUGCCACGUCUGCAGCAUAUGGGGGCACUGACUCAAAAGCAAGAAAAGCUUCAGCUCACUGCACCAGAAGUGCUCAAUUCUGAAUAAAAGCAGGUCCACAAAGAAAUUAGUUAUCCCAAACAAACUUCUGCGCUGUACAUCUAAAUAUAAUUUCAGCCCAGGCUUUUCUCUCUGCAUGGCACUGUGCUGUCCCAGUUAUCACAGUUAAAUACAGGACUUCUAAAAGCCCUGUAUCGUGCUGGAAGAAAUGUGCACAGCCACAUACAUUCAGCCCUCCCAGAACUAAGAAAAGCAGCUGCACACAUAGAUCAGGCCACUGCAGAAGCUCCUAUUUAGCGCUAGACACUGCUUGACCUGACAGAUCUAUUCCUAGAAAAUACCUACUAGAGAAAUAGUUAUGUUUACCCAUUCCUUCCCCUUUUUUUUUUUUUUUCUUAAGGUAAGAGUAGUCUUGAAGAACCACCAUGCACAAACAGCCCCCCCCACUCCAGGCGACCAGCGGAAGCUGUAUCUGAAUCUCCAUGGAGGAAGGAAGGAGAUCUGGUUCCAUGCUUUCAGCACAUCACUAUCUAUCACAUUUGCUCACGUAUGCAAAACAUUUGCUCACAUGCAAGGCCUGUUUGCUGCAAGACUCUGGGCACUGAGGUGCCCAAAAAGCAGAAGCCAGCAGGAGAAUGUGUUACCAAUUCCCAUCACUUGGAGGGCCUCAGUUUUCCGAGCUACUGGAAUGCAAAUAAACAAACCCAUACUCUGGAUUUGUGCCCCAUAUGAGUUCCACAAGUUCCAAGAAGUCUUGUUUUUAUUCAUGCUCACAUUUGGGAUUUGUGCAAUGUGGACCAGAAUGUUUCAGCACUUCUUAAAAACAAGAAAUAAAACCCAAACAAACCAGAACUAGACUACCGAUAAGCAAUAUUUCUAACUCUUACAACUCAAUUCUAAGUCUCCAGAUAUUUGAUCACUUGCAUCAAAUCCCUGCUCUUCAAUAUAUGUGACCACAACAUAAAUUUUAAAGUUGAGAUGAUGUUAAAGCAACUUUCUAACCCUUUGUGGUUUCAAAAAAGUGCAUAAAAAUGCAACCCAAGUGUGUAGAAUUUGGACCUAAAGCCUAAGCCAACUGAGAGCCAACUUUUAAACUUGAGGGAAUAUCUGAUACAUUGCAGAUUUUCAGAUGGCACUAUUAAGCAAGUAAACUGCUACAUUUUCAAAAGUCCACCAGUUUUCUUAGACAGCAGUCAAAACACCACCACAUAGAGGGGUGCAUGAAUUUCCAGAACAGGUCCUGAUGGAUCACAGCUACUAUUGGCUUCCUCAGGUUUUCCAGACAAUCAGUGAAGUAUUUUUUCCUUCUUCCAAGGAAAACGUCCUCACAGGAUAUGUGCAUGACUCUGCUUCAAAGUUCACAAUGUUUUUUGGAGAGCAAGAAGCUACUGCUGCCACAGCUGAAGCCUCUACAAGAACAUGACAGCUCAAACAGUGGGUUUUCAGGGAACAGACACCAAGCCAUUACCCACAAAAAUAAACUCAUCAUCUUCAUUUUUCCAUGACCACUCCACAGUCACAAGCAACCCUGCGUACAACCAUGACAGCCUGUGAGGAGCCCAGGUCAGCAGCUGUCCUAAAACACAGGCUGAGAAACACGUGGGCUUCUCUGAGACUGCCCCAAGGGCAGACAGAGGCAUUGACAAGCAGCAGGGGUGAGCUCACAGCAGACCCCAUCCAGUCAGUAAUUAUUGCAGGGAUUACAAAGCCUUCAGGACUGUCAGUUGUGCUGUUUUUUACUAGCAAUAAAUUCCAUUAGAAGAAACAGAGCAAGAAGGCAUGGCUGCUCCCACUCCACUUCUAUCCCACAACAGCCGUGCUUUCAGCACAUACUUUCAGCUCCUACACCAGGCUGACCUAAGGGCAAGAUGAACAUUUCAGAAGAUCUUACUGUUACACUUUUUUUUUCUCCUUUUAAAACCGUUAGUCUGGACUCUCAGUAAAGCCCUUCUCUUACCCACCCCUGGCAAAGAGGAUCCAAGAAGUCUUACAGUGCAAAGGCUAAAGCACAAACAGCUUCUUUUGGACAUGCACAUGAAGCCCAGCAGGAACAGUCCAAACCCAGAGGGCUCAGUUUUGCACACAAGCGCAGACAUGGACAGCUUCCAUUUCUACCAGUGGAUAACACACCAGUGGGAGACAAAAUAAAAUCAAAUAACCAGACCCAAGGGAAAGCAGUAAAGCACAAGGGUCGAUAAAGCAACUUCCAUGAGCUCUACCAAGUGGCCAGGAUCCAGAGCAGCCUCCCAGCCCCGCUAAGGGUGAGAUGUUCUGUCUGUCAGAUAAGCAGAGGAGGCCAGAGCCCACAGCCAAUGCCCACGUCAAGCUAGUGAACCCACACCUUCAACAGCAGGAUGUUUGCAAAAGCAAAAAAAUGUUUGCUGGCUUCAAAAUGCCAGCCCUGUUGAUAAAGUAUGAAAUAUUAGCAUUGUUUAAGGUGACGAGCCUGACUCAAGGCCUCCUCAUCCAAGAAUUGUCAUGCCUGUAACACAAUAUUGAUGUGGUGGCUUAUAAUUCUUACUUUACAUAAAAGCCUCAUUGUGUGCCAAAUUCAAUCUCCACAGGCUACCUGAGCCACAGAUUUUUACAAGUCUACAUUUCAGCGCUGUGAGUCUACAAUACACAUAAUUUUCAAUUAUGUUAGGGCAGAACAGGAUCACUGCCUAUAUAACAUUACUGGUUGGAGGAAAUGAGACUCAGCCCUACUGCCGAGAGAGCUAACUGGAUCCAGAUGGUGGCCGAGCGCGGCAGCCGGCCCAGGGAGCGCCGUCGCAGCAGCCACCCCCUCUACAACUCUCUCUUUCACAGUGCAGGGACAUGCCAAGCCCUUGCUGGGGCUGGGAGCUGUGACAGGAGGAUGCUUGGGCAGGGGGGAAUUGCAUCACCUUGGGGAAGAGGAGGGAGAACGGUGAUUGCUCUCACAGGUUUACUACUUCUGCCCUACACUAUGAUAUUCUUAUUAAAAAGGAGAAAAAUUAAGUCCUGCUACAGCAGAGAGGUAAAUCCUUUCCUUCCUCGAGCAACUAAAUAGCAGGAAAUCCUCUUCUCUUGGCCCUAAAUGCAGAUUUGAGCCAGACAGUUCCUCUUGAUUUGCAAGGAGUCCACAAAAAUCCAAAGCUGACUUUCCCAGCCUUCUGACACUGCUUUUACAUUCCUGCACCGGGCAGCUGGGAGGGGGCAGAAGGGUAGGAGGGAGGGGAAGUUCCCACCAGCCUGCUCCUGCAAUUGCUGGACACCCACUCCCUCCUCUCCUGCUUCUUGUGUCUCGGGGUGGAAAUCGGGACUUGCCUGUACAAACACUGAACUUUUCAACAAAUUAACUCUAACAAAUCUGUGCAAAUUAUUUCAGAACAAAACUGUUGAAAUGGGCUCUGCUGGCCUGCUUUUAACAUUUUUUUAAAAUAACGUCAUCGUGGUGCAAGUACUUUAUUCCCUGUUUAACAAUAUGAUCUGAUGGGGAUCAUUAGCAUGUGUGCAUUUAAAAAAAAAAAAAGUUUUAUGGCAAGUCUCAGAGAGCUUAAGCAAAAUAAUUGUUAAGCUCCAGGCCUCCACACAAGAAUUAAAACAAGUAUGGGGCGAACGUACUUGAGAGAAACCAAAGCCUUUAAAAAGGCUGUUAAAUUGUCAGCACAAGGGAAAAGGCAAAUGAUUUGAAUGGCCCAGAUUUUUUUUUGUAGUAAGGAACAAAAAAAACCCAAGAACCUUCCUACACAUCCACACCUCCCAUCUACAACCAGAGGGUUCUGCAAAGCACAGACCCGCCGGGAGCAGCUCUGCACAGCCACCCUCCAGAGCAGCCACCUUCCUGAGCUCUUGCUGGGUGAACAAACAUCUUCCCCAAGUUUUCACAGCAGAGUUGGUCAAAAGCAGCUGAACUUCACAUCCAGCAGUCGAGGAGUUUGCUGGAAGCUCUAACUCAGGGCCAGCAGCUGCCCCACAGGCUGGGGCAGGGCUCACAGCAGUGCAGCCGUGGAGGAAAGGAUGGCACUGAGCUCACAGGUGUUUCCUGCACCGGUGUCCAACCUGGACCUGUCCCCUUGUCACACUAUUGUUUUCACUGCUAGAUUGUCCUACAAGUGAUGUUCUUCAACAUAUAAAAACAUAAACACAGUAAGGGGGAAAAAAGGCCAUAUUUUUUAACAGAAGGAAAGCUGCACAAUGCUUUCCAGCUCAGGUUUCCUGCAGCUGGUGCUUAUUAGCUCCCAGGAACCGAAACAAGCAGGAGCAGGGCUCCUGCAGUCAGCUUGAUGCCACUGGUCUCCAAUACCUCCCCUAACCACUGGAUCACACUUUCAAAGUCUGCACUUUCUCCCUGGAUCUCAAAUAGAAAUAUUUAUGAUCCUAGUUUUGGGGUCAGUCUCUCCCUUGGCCAGCACUGUAGAGUCACAUGGAAGUACACAUCUGGAUGUCAACUUGAAGGUCAGGAGUUUCUCCAAUAUUUAGUUUAGAAGCAUUUCUGGGAGGGAGCAUCUAGACAAAUUUUAACCAGAGAUAAUCCAGUAGCAACACGGAGAUCACAAUGCUGAGGGGAGAGCUGAUAUUUAUGGGGAAGCCAAUAAGGAACAAAGAUUAACAAGGCCAUAAUAGCCCUAACAGAAAAAAAAGAAAAAAAAAAGUUGCAAGAGGAUACUCAUCUUGGUACCUACAAAGAAAGGUCUGUCACCUAUUAGUGUCCACACUUCCGUUAGAAGCAAAGCCUCUAAAGAUUUAACUGUAGACCCUUAGCUUCUGCUCCAUUGACUAAUUUACCGCAACCCCUUAUUUCUGGUCUUCAGUUAUCACCUUGUUUGUAGAGGUGCACGUGUGAGAGCAAAAUCUGAAGGAUUUAUUUUAAAUAACUGAAGGAGGCUGUUGAAGGAACUUUAAAAAGGCCUCCUAUUCCUCGCAGACCUGCAAUGUCUGGAAUUUUUUGUAUGAGAAGUAAUAGACACCACCCACGAUGCUGAGCCCUUCUACAGAAUAUGCAAUGCACCACCACGAGGCACAGGGGAGCUGCUCAAAACAAGAGCAGCAAGGUUGAUUUCAGUGAGACCAAUCCUUUCCACACACAAGAUUUCCCCAGAGCAUUCAAUAAAUUAAAGCAUAAAAUUCUAAAACAUGAAAGUAUUUAUCAUAUAUCUGCACUUUUCAUUUUAUUAACAUAAUCUUUUAAACUAUUGCAACACCACAAAAAUUAAUUAUUAAGUAAAAUACAUAGAUAGUGGGGAAAUGGUACAAAAACAAGAAACAGGUAAGCGUUAUGUUCCUUCACUGACACAUGCACGUAAGGCCUCUUCCAAAUUUAAAAUGUCCUUUAAUUCUCUCAUUAUUGAGAAUUUGAGUGACCUUGUCUCCUUCCCUUCCAGUAAUACACAGGAGUCCCUGACACAGGGACCUUGAGUUGCCCAUUUCAGUAUUUUGCCCGUGCCUUUGUCGCAUUGCUGAGCUGCUGCUAGGGCAGAAAAAUGAGACAGCUGAGUGCUCCACUGGCUGAAAACUAGAGAAAGGUGUUAGUGAUUAAACAGCCCAAGAUCACCUAAAGGAGGGAAUCCUGACAGCAGAAACCCUGGGACCUGGAACUGUCUCCCUGAAGGUACAGAGCAACCCAAGGUGAUGGGCAAAGAGGUUGCCCAUUUUGGCAUGGGAUAAGAUACAAAGCAGCAGCCUGAGCCCCACAGGCACCUUGUCAACUGCAGUUCUCCAGACUGGAGAUGUGGGAAUGUCCCAGAAAGAGCAGAUCCUGAGCUUUGUCCUGACCUCUCCAGGCUCUUCUGCAUCUCAGAAGAGAUGCAAUGUAACAGGUCCCCUCCAUCACUACUGCCAGGCAUCACCCCCACUUGCAUGGGUUUUCUGUACAGAGCGACAAGGGGACAGAGGAGGCUGUCAUGGGAGAGAGCUGAAGAGAAUAACCAGAAGCUUCCUCAAAAAUUAUUGCCUAUGAAAGUUCAAGCAAAUGCAGAUAAUUAUUUGCUCAUUCUGACAUGGAUGAAAGGCAUUCUUGCCAUAAGUUCUACUGAAACACUGAAGUGAAACAGGUUUUUUGCUUCUACUGAAGGCAAGGUUGGUAGGCUACAGUUGAGCUCUGGGAUACAGACACCGAGCAUAAAGAAGUAAAAUAAAGGCUAAUCAGCUACUGCAGGAAUUUAAAAUAAUUCUUUUAGCUUUACAAGAGGAAGAGUGUUCAUGUGACAUAGAAGUACAGCAUUACUUUCUGCAGUUCACAUGGUAUCUCUGCAAAGUAACUGCAGGCUAUAUUUCUCAAUCCUGGGUGGAGCUUGGGAAAGCACCACUACUUUUUUCACAUUUAAUUUGAAAGACCCCACCAUCCUUGCUGCACAAACCAGCAGGUUGGCUGAGGACUAUUCAGAUGUCUGCAAAGUGCUGUUCCAAAAGACGGUACAAAUAAAAACAUCAUUUCAGUCAAGGAAUAAGAAUAAGCAUUUUAUUUACUUUAAACCAUAAUAAAAACUUCAUUUUUAAGCAACUUUCCCCAAAUUUUCUCUGCAACCUGUUCUGUUGCACUUAAGCAUUGAGUUUCCAAUAGAUGAAGACUAGGACAGUCAAAAAAUCUCAAGAAAGUCUUUCUGUAGGUCUGUCUAGCUUAGACUCACAGUUUAACCAGCCUCUAAGACUCACCAAAAAAUUUGAUGUACAGACACACAAUUUCUCAUCCUGGCAAUCUCCCAGAAAGUGAGAGAACAAUUGGUAACUAGUGUUUGCAUGAAGUCCAAGAAUGCAUUUUAUGGUCUAUAAAAUAUAAUUCUUUUCCUCCCCUUUAAAUCAAGGCAGUAAAGAUAUCUGACAGCAUGUUAGAGACAAAGAUCAUGGCACUGAGCUACCUCCAUUCAAACAGAGGAGCUGCUCCAGGGGAACCUUGCCUCCCUUAAAACAUUCCAACUCUGUUAAGAGCAUAGCUCUAUUUGUAAAGGAGGGGCUGUAACUUGAAGCCUUUUAAACUUUUUUUUUAAGGAAAAGCAAGAAAAAUCCCACAGCACAGCUGUGCAAGGAGCAAAAGAGGCCCUCCAAAUCUGCCCUCAUCUUUCCGUUCACGUCCACCACUUGGAGGUUGGAAUGGAAUUGGAAACAUGGGAAUGUAUUUCCUGAUUAUGGGAAGCAUCAACCAGGCUCCUUAGGUACCCUGGUAGUGAAGCACUUCAGGAAAUUCAUCUCUGCAUGACCAUAAUACUGAACUGGUACCAUUUUCCAGUGCAUGUCUUUGUGUGAAGGCAAAAAAACAAACUCAGACUAACAGACGUAAACAAGCCUAUCUUUGUACAACCCUGUCCUGCAUCAGUCACAGAAUCAUGGAAUGGUUUGAGUUGGAUGGGACCUUGAAGAUCAUCCAAAGUUCCAACUGUCCUGCCACAAGCAGGGACACUGAGACCAGGCUGCUCAGAGCCCCAUCCAGCCUGACCGUGGAUGGGGCAUCCACAAUUUCUCUGGGCAACCUGUGCCAGUCCCUCAACACCCUCACAGGGAAGAAUUUCUUCCUAAUACCUAAUCUAGACCUACCCUCUAUGAGCCAAAAAGGUAUUGAUUUAUAGAGUGCUUGGCACUUCCAGCUAUCAAAAGCCAGCAGAGGCAUGACAAAGGCAAGACAGUAAAAGGAUGCUCUGCAAGACAAGUCCCUCUCCAAAGGGGCCUCCAAGACUACCUUGGUUGGGAGGGGUUUCUUCACUCUUUGAUCCAAAUUCUCAUCUCAGAUCUUGUGAAGUAUCUGCGAAUGAGUGGCACAGGUGGGUGAGAUCCCUGAGUAAAAGAGCUACAGGAAAAUUUAGCAGUUUGCUCAUUAGUGUAACAUGGCCUAAGAAGGUUUUACUGAAAGAGUCAUAUUUUCUUCCACUGUUGGGUAAGUGAAACUCAUGACUCUAAUCACUACCACAAAAAUUCCUGUCGAUGUAGCAAUUCUGGGUGAACUGCUGGGAGCCACUCUCUAGUAAACCCAGCAAAUUUCAUACCGAAUUUCCUGUCGCCUCCCUUGUGGUUUCCAUGUGUGAUUGGGCCUUCAAUGCAACAAGGGGUAACUGCAGAAUAGAUGGCUCCAAGGGUUUCAGGCCUUCAUGAAAAUGAAGAACUUGCAAAAUUCUCUUUUCCUAGGGGUGGUCCUGGGGACAGCAAGACCGCUGCACCCAUUUUCCUUCCAAAUAAAAGCUGCACGUCUCAAUUGUCCAUCAGAAGAGGAAAGGAUGAAGGCUUGCCUUUGGAUACCCACGGAAAAGACAUCCCAUCUGGCCAGAGGGAAAGAUGACUCCUCGUUAAGUAGGAAGAAUUAUAUUUAGGUGGAGGACUAAGUGAAUCAUUUGGGAUGAAAGCAAAAUAAAACAAAUGAAGUAUUCACUAAAUCUGUGUUGUUACCUCUUGUUCCUGGGCAGCCACCCUGUGUAUUUAUUUUCUGGUUUCCUCCAGCACCACCAAAACAAUGCAAUAUGCAUUUAGGUAUUUAAAAGAAGUAUUUUUUAAAAUAUUUUUAGUUGAAUCAUCAGCCACACAAACUGUUCCUCAAGAACACAUAAAAUGUUGGGUUUUUUUUAAAGGAGAUGCAGAGAAAAAAGAUCUUAGAACAAAUAUGGCUCAGAAUUGACACCAUUAUGGAAUAUUUUUCCUCAAUUUAAAGGGCACCCCCAAUGAAAAUAAGCCAAAUUACAACAAAAAUAAGCCAAAUUACAACAAAUUCCAAGUAAAUCAUGGCAUGAUUUUAGAAAGGCACGCUGAGUUUUCAAGUACUUUUAGGUUAUGCAUUAAAUGUAAGUAACUUUUCUUGAACUGGCAUAGUUUGCAGACUUAAGAUGCACAAAAUACACUACUAAAAGUUUUGAAGAAAUGGGGGGCCUUUUGUUUAUUCAGAGAGAAAAAUUUUCCUCAGUCAAAAAACUGCACUACCAUAUCCACUCCCUGAGCUGAAAAGAGUAGAAACAAAAACCAAACAGCAAAAUGAACUAACACAAAAUAAUCCUUUUUGAUUUAACAAAUCGGGGGAAAAAAAAGGAAAGCACUCUUUUUUUUUGAGCAGCAAAUUGAAAUAAUGCAUUGCUCCAUGUAUGUAUAGGGGGAAAAAAACCAAACAAAAAAAUUUUCUGCUGCACAGGGAAAAUGCAACAUGCAUGAGCCGGCAUUCUUCUUCUUUAAGUGUGGGUGGAAAAGAAGCAGGAGGGGAAGAAAAAAAAAAAAUCCGAAUUUUUUUUUAAAUCCAUGUAGAAAGAGUGGCUUGGAGGGGCCUCUGUCCCAGGGAGAAGGGCACCAGCAGCUCUGCAAUAGUUCAUGUCCUGGAGGGACUGUGCCCCAUGCGCCAGAUUCUUGUGGUUGUGGCAGAGGUUUGUUUGGGAGAGGUGAGGGCGGCUCUGCCGAGCGAACACCCAGCCCACGGCCGCGGGGAGCCCGCAGACACCACACUCCCACAUCUGCAUCUGUCACACUUUCAUGCCACAGCCCCAAAGCUGAAACAAAGGAGUCAUCGGAGCAGCCCCGAGCUGUAUAAAUCUGCAAAUAGCUGAAAAUGUUGCUCUUGUUGCUAAAUAUAGUGCAGGCAUUUUGAACUGGCUGGCCUGCAAGGCAACUUUUGUAUUUGUUUAUUUAAAGGACCAUGGUUUGAAAACACUGAGUGUUUUUUAAGCUUGUUCAUGUAUGUAUGUUUGCUCUCUCUCAAUAUCAAUAUGCAAAAAAAAAUUAAAAUAACUUAGCAGGUACUGGAAAAACAACUUCCAUGUAAAGGAGUCAGACAGCUGAGCAGAAAGAUGCAUUUGACUUUGCAGCAGGAGCAAAAUCUCCUCCAAGGCUGGUAAAUCAUGCUCAUACAGAAUUAAACACAGAAUAGCUUCAACAGUGCACCCUGAUACAAUUAGCAAACGCUCUGCUCCCUGUCGGAGCCCUCCCCAGGAUCAUCACAUUCCUGCCUCGCCAUGGGAAGUGAGGGAUGCGGAUGCUGCCCAGGAGAGGGGAGGAGAGGCACAGCCCUGGGCUAGGGAACGCCUGCAAAACCCCACACGCCAGGCAAGAGGGAUGCACAGCCACCCACCCUCUUGUGGCAUCUCAAAGCCAGCACAGGGAUGCCCUUCUGCUGCUAAAUCCCGGGAGCUGGGCACCAGCUCACCCAGUGCCUCUGCAGGAGGCUGAGAGCCAGGCUGCCUGUGCGGGAGCUAAGAGCAGGACUCCCCAGGAAGGGCUCUGGGAUUGCAGCCCAGCCCCAAACCACACAGGAGUCACUGCAACAGAGCACUCACCUAUGGGAUGCUGCUCUCUGAAAGCCAAGGGCACAGCCCUGGACCUGGGGCGGCUGCUCAGACACCAAGGGGACACGGUGAUCCCCACAGAAGCUCAGGACAAGGAUGGGGGAACACACAAUCCCUCACGGCUCCAUGGGGAGAACCACAGCCAAACUGGCAGCACCUGAAGCUUCACAUGCCUGUGCCAAGUGCCCUGUACCCACAAGUGCCAGAUGAAUAUUUCAGGUUUCAGCCUUACCUGCAACUGAUAAAAAAACCCCAGUAGCUAGUCGAGGUUUGUUACAGCCGUACAGCUGUCUUAAGAAAAAAGGGAAAAAAAAAAAAAGCUUUUUCUUAGCAGGGCGGGGGGUGGAAGGGGCUGCAUCGACAGCUCCAGUAGCCAGAGGCACUUUGCAAGGAGGAAAGUAGAACUCACAAUGUGGGCAGGCCUCGGGUUUCUGAGCCUCAGGGCACAUCCAAGAGACACAGCGUAUUUACUGAACAGCCGGGAAAGCAAAGGCUCCAGUCUUACAGCACCUUAUAAUCUUAUUGUGGACGCUUAUAUUUUAUAAGUAUUUGAGGUUGAGGGGAGCAGGGUGGGGAGGGACACAAGAAGCCACUUUAGCUGCCUGGCGGGGUUCUGAGAGGCAGGUUUGUUUUUUAAAGAUGAGGUAGGAUGACUCCAUAUGUGGGUAAUUAUAAAUGAAGCCACUAAGGAUCAAUGAGCUCCCUUUCAUAGCAAUCGCUUAUUUAUUUAUUUUAAAAAUCAUGACACAGCAUUUCUGUUCUAUUUCCAAGUCAAAUUUAUCCUAGGUGGAAUCAGAGGAAGAAAAAACAGGUUCCUAAACAGAUUUUUUUGAAGGCACUAAUAGACUGGAGAGCAUCUGCGCAGGACAGUAAGUUGAAGUCAGCGUUUCUGCAUGCUGCACAGCCAACCCCACAACCUCAGGAGGGAACUUUCAUCUCCACAGACCUGCACACAAAAGGUCAUUGCAGUGCACCCUGCUCCCGCUAAGGAGCUUACCUCUCACACGUAACAUCAGGCUUAUUAAGCAACGUGAGAUGAUACAAUAGCCACUAAUCUACUGAAAAUUAUUAUUCCUUUCCUCCUGCCCCCAAGCAACACGGGGAUUUGCAACAUGCUGGUCUGUAGGAUGUACCUGAAGGACAGAGGGAAUUCAAACUGCCCUGCCCCUCGCAGUCCCUUGGUGAUACCUCCCAGUGAUUUCCAGUGAGGCUGUCAGAGGUAGCCCAAGUAUUGUAGAAAAAUUCCUCUGACUUUGUAUGGAUUUAAUCAGAACAAAAAGUUGCAUUUAUAAAGAAAAAGAAAAAAAAAAAAAAAAAAA